UGGGCGUAAAGCGCACGCAGGCGGUCUGUUAAGCUAGAUGUGAAAGCCCCGCGCUCAACGUGGGAGGGUCAUUUAGAACUGGCAGACUAGAGUCUUGGAGAGGGGAGUGGAAUUCCAGGUGUAGCGGUGAAAUGCGUAGAGAUCUGGAGGAACAUCAAUGGCGAAGGCAACUCCCUGGCCAAAGACUGACGCUCAUGUGCGAAAGUGUGGGUAGCGAACAGGAUUAGAUACCCUGGUAGUCCACGCCGUAAACGAUGGACACUAGUUGUUGGAAUUAUUCAGUGACUAAGCGAAAGUGAUAAGUGUCCCACCUGGGGAGUACGAUCGCAAGAUUGAAACUCAAAUGAAUUGACGGGGGCCCGCACAAGCGGUGGAGCAUGUGGUUUAAUUCGAUGCAACGCGAAGAACCUUACCUACUCUUGACAUACUAGAAACUUUUCAGAGAUGAAUUGGUGCCUUCGGGAAUCUAGAUACAGGUGCUGCAUGGCU
This 489-nucleotide ribosomal RNA is filed under the name uncultured Glaciecola sp. RNAcentral describes it as "bacterial SSU rRNA". It matches the Rfam family "Bacterial small subunit ribosomal RNA", at positions 555 to 1050 of the family's 1533-position model. Lineage: Bacteria; Pseudomonadati; Pseudomonadota; Gammaproteobacteria; Alteromonadales; Alteromonadaceae. The record is from RNAcentral.